UUGACUGGUACUUUAUGUUACGAAUUCCAACGUUUUGAUAUCAUUUUAAUGAUAUGUUAAAGACCCAACUGAACGAUUCAGAACAUGAAUAAUCAUAUUUGUCUUGGUAAAAUGUAUUCUAUAACAUAAAGAAGUGAAAUGAUCACCAAAGUAUGUUUUCACCCACUCGGGGCAGUCACACUUUAACAGGAAAAUGCUUUUGUAUGAUAUUUAGUGUGAAAUGCACAACCGUUAUAAAUUACCUUUACAAUUGAGAGGUGAUCUGCUGCUGCCUGGUGGAGGCAGGAGGUACUACAUCCAGCGCCUUAUCACCAGUUUCAACUACAUCACCAUAGUUACAUAGUUACAUCACCAUGGGAACAUUAACAAAAACGUCACCAUGGUUACAUCCACAUCGGGGUUGAAAUCAGUAUGACCAAAGGUGUGCAACGUUGAAUUCAACAGAAACUGUUCUAUACUGAACGACUAGAUGAAAAAUGUUGAUUAUGGUAUAAUUAUAUAAUAUCUACCCAGAGGUAGAUUGUAUGGUGUUUGUUGCACGAGUUUUGUGAUUUCAAAUGGUCACACCCAUAUUGAUCAGUCCACACCCAGCAAAGGGGAGCAAAGUACCUCAAAGGCUGUUGAAGAACAGUACGCACCAUUUUAGAUAAACGUGUCGUUCAGUACAAAUCAGCACGCAGCAUAACAAAAUAACUGAACGCACCCCUGGAACAUUCAAACGUCCAUAUGAAUAAAUAGGUGUCGCUCUGAUAGAAAGGUUAAACAAACAUUUUAUUAAUUUGGACAGGCCUUUGUUUCUUUACAUCAUCAUCAUAAUAAUCAGGUGCUCUGCAGCCGCGUCACAUGACAGACAAACUCACAGCUGUAAAUUACAAUAAAGAGCUCUGGACAGACAGAGUCACAGAUUAACGGUUUCAUCCCGAGUCGUUAGCAAUCUGCAGUGAUGGAGGAGACUUGAUGACCAGGAUCAUUAGUAGAGAGGGUCCAAUGGACCUCAAAUCCCUUUCUAUACCCAACUUCCAGACACAUAGGGUGCCCCAUAGAGCUAAAGUAGUAUCUAAUGGUGACGUCAUUACCGGUAGGGAGCCUUCAGAUGGACUAGACCCUACCUGGUCUCCGAGACCUUCAGAUGGACUAGACCCUACCUGGUCUCCGAGACCUUCAGAUGGACUAGACCCUACCUGGUCUCCGAGACCUUCAGAUGGACUAGACCCUACCUGGUCUCCGAGACCUUCAGAUGGACUAGACCCUACCUGGUCUCCCAGACGUUCAGACGGACAAGACCCUUAUCGUUUAAAACCACAGGCGACAUCUGCUCAAAACAAAAUUGAUGUAAUUAAGCACGUGUUGUAAUUACUAGGAUUCUGUGGUUUCACAGGCAAAAGGGAUUGCUUUUGAUUGAAAAUAAAACGCGUUCUGUCUUCCUAAUGAACAAAACAUACUUUAUGGAAAAGAGAUGUAUGAUACACCAUGCUGCCUUGUUGACAAAAUCACAGAGCUGCGUAGAUUACUGUUGGAUUCGUAGAUUACUGUUGGAUUUGUAGAUUACUGUUGGAUUUGAGAAGGGUGCUUCAUUCGCAGUGAAAGAGGACCAUAGGCUGGUGCCACGUGGCUUAGCAUAAUCAAAUCCGCCCAUUGAUAAACAAACACUGGGAAGUGAAGCCACCUCAGGAUGCCGGUAAUGACGUCACCGCUGGAUGCCGGUAAUGACGUCGCCGCUGGAUGCCGGUAAUGACGUCACCACUGGAUGCUGGUAAUGACGUCACCAGUGAAGUCAUCGCUAGAUAUGGGUAUAAUGGUGCUUUCCAGACAAUUGGGAACUCAGGAAUAAAAGGUCAAAUCAGGGCGUCCGUGAUCUUCAGGUCGGAAAGUCCAAGCUCCUGAAAGUUUACUGCUUGGAAAUACGAGUUGAAUGACCGUUCAAAAAUGUUUCCCUAAUUUCAAGUCCCCAGUUCUUUUAAACGUGGCAAGAAGCCUGAUGAAACGAGGCGCGUUCCAUAGCUAAGGCGAGGCAACAAUCAGUGUUUGUGUCACGUCAAGGACUGUGUGAUGGACUGUGUGAUGGACUGUGUGAUGGACUGUGUGAUGGACUGUGUGAUGGACUGUGUGAUGGACUGUGUGAUGGACUGUGUGAUGG
Long non-coding RNA from Oncorhynchus tshawytscha (Chinook salmon), 2137 nucleotides. Lineage: Eukaryota; Metazoa; Chordata; Actinopteri; Salmoniformes; Salmonidae. The record is from Ensembl.